AUAAAAUCGCCACCACCACGAAACAAAACCCUAACACCUUCCCCCCAAUUCCCAUGGCUCCAAAACGGAAACAGGAGCCCGAAGACAUAGUAGGAGAGGGAGAAUUCGAAGAAGAAGAAGACGACGAACAAGUGGUCGAAGAGGAUAUUCCAGAGAUGAACCAAUCCGGAGAGGAUCCCUCCGCGAACACUCUUAAUCACAAUUCCGCCGACGAAGAACUUGAGGAAGAGCCCUUCGAGAAGCUUCUCGAGCCCUUCUCCAAGGACCAGCUCACUCUCCUAAUCAAGGAAGCUCUCGCAAAACACCCAGAUCUAGCCGCGAUUGUGCACGCCAUGGCCGACUCCGACCCCGCCCACUGUAAGAUCUUCGUCCACGGCCUCGGCUGGGAUGCCAACGACGAUUCAAUUACGUCUGUUUUUGGCAAGUACGGUGAUAUUGAAGAUUGUAAAUUGGUCAGAGACAAGAACACCGGGAAAUCGAAGGGCUACGGCUUCAUUCUCUUCAAGCGGCGCGACGGUGCUCGUCGCGCCCUUAAGGAGCCUCAGAAGUUGAUUGAAGGCAGGAUGACUUGUUGCCAGCUGGCCUCAGCCGGCCCCGUGCACACUCCCGCGCAGUCUGCUCCAGCAAUUGUUGCUUUACCACCUGCUUCGGAGUACACGCAGAGGAAGAUAUAUGUUAGCAAUGUGUCUGCGGAGCUUGAGCCGAAGAAGCUUUUCGACUAUUUUUCGAAAUUUGGGGAAAUUGAGGAAGGGCCUCUGGGGUUGGAUAAACAGACUCGGAAGCCUAGGGGGUUCUGUUUGUUUGUGUAUAAGAGUAGCGAGAGUGCGAAAAAAGUGCUGGAGGAGCCGCACAAGCAAUAUGAGGGUCAUAUACUGCAUUGCCAGAAGGCGAUAGAUGGCCCUAAACACAGCAAGGGUCACUUUAACAAUCAGCAACAGGGGUAUCAGCAUCACCAGGCCAAGAGGGGGAGGUAUGCUGGACACGGUGGUGGUCACUUGAUGGCUCCGAGCGCUGGACUGGCUGUUCCUUCUGGAGGGUUUGGUCCAGCAGUUGCCCCGGCCGCGAUAGGGCAGGCUGUGGCAGCUCUGUUGGCCACUCAGGGGGCUGGAUUGGGUAUUGGGAAUUUACUCGGGGGGAUUGGAAAUGCGCAGGGAGUGCCGCCUAUGAUGAACAAUGCAGAUUUCGGAGGUCAGGGUGCUGGUGGAGGCUAUGGAGGUCAACCUGGUAUGCAGGGAGGUUAUGGUGGCCAGCCACAGAUGGGUCCGGGUGGUGUAAGGCCACAUCUGGGUGGGGCACCCUAUAUGGGUCAUGGUCACUAGGUAACCGGAGGUAUGUCGAUAUUUUUUACUAUGUCCUUACUCUGGUCUUUAAAUUUACGCUACUUAGCUGUGAUGCCUGAGUAUAUCAAUUAGUGCCAAAAUGCAUACGUACGGACUCUAGAGUGUCUUACUCAAUAGUUACUUUUGAUUAAUUGAAGCAGAGGAAGAUUUCUAAUGUUUAAAAUAUGUAGUGUUCAAACUUUUAUUAGGGAUAUAUAUCCUGCCCACCAUCUAGGAGCAAACAUGAACACUAGUUAAUCUCCCCCCAUGGAGAACAUAUAGGGAAAUCUUUCCUAAAGUUAUUGGUUUUAUGUUUUAGUACUCCCUCCGUCCGUGAAAAGUAUGAACAUUUGGUUCGGCUCGGGUUUUAAUGUAUAGUUAGUAAAGUAAGAGAGAUGGAGAUAAAGGGUAGUGUUAGUGAGAGUGGGCUCUACAUCAUUAAGAGUGUAGUGUAUUGGUAUAUGUUGUAAAUAACAUGAUAUGUAGGGGUAAUUUGUUGUUUAACUAUUCCAAAAUUAGAAAGUUCAUACUUUUCAGGGUCGGACUACUAAGGAAAUAGUUCAUACUUUUUAUGUACAGAGGGAGUAUUAUUGAUGGUUAUAACACAAAUCUCCACCAUAUAUUUUGUCAUCAAUGAUUCAAUCAGGGUCUUUAGUUAUACUGGGUGAUGAAAACACGAAGCUUAGGAAACUUAUCCAUAAUAUGUUGGGGCUGUGGCUUAACCAUUAAAUUGAUUGAAUAUGUACAUAUUUGUAUAGUGAGGAGACCUUUGAUCUGGAACUUGUACUUCAAUAAAUAGUGAACUUGGACUAAAAAUUACUUGAACUUCUUCACCAUUGGAGAUCACUUAGAUGAUGGAAGUGGACGUUUAAAUAUGUUCGCAUUAAAUGGAUGAUUGUUACGAGGUCAAGUAGUGAAAAAUUAAAAACAAGCUCGACUGUAUGUAUUAAUAUCCUUCCGCGCUAUUCCAAAAAAUUAGGCCAUCUGCAAAAAAGAUUAAUGCUUUGCGCAUCUUUUUUUGAAACACUUUUUAUUAAAACUCCUGCUGUGAUUAUGACUCGAUAGUUAUAUUUGCUCUCGUCAUUCAGGUAAUAUUAAUUUUUGGUUCAGUAACCAUCCACAUGUUUCUCAUAAUUCUUCAUAAAUGCAUCAAACUUUUAGUUUUGGACUCUGGUGAUUCUUCUGAAGUUCGGGCAAUCAUGCAAAUGAAGUCCUUCCUUGUAGCAAAAAGUUUCCAUUUGCCUAAAGACUAGAAUCUAAAAUAUGUAUCAUGUUUCUCUUUUUCUUACUUCUAUCUGUCUGAAUAUUUUCUAAAACGUCUUACUUUGGUCUUAUUACAACUUUUUCAAAGGGUUGAGAACCAGUGGCUUGAUUCCUACUUCUUUGUCUUUGAGAUUUGAGGGUGUCGGUUUACUAUAUAUUUUACUUUGAAUUUUAGCAUUAA
Salvia splendens (bonfire salvia) is the source of this 2763-nucleotide RNA transcript. It is a transcript of the gene named UBP1-associated protein 2A, with no coding region annotated. The record is from RefSeq and is a predicted model, not a curated record. NCBI's taxonomy places the organism in Eukaryota, Viridiplantae, Streptophyta, Magnoliopsida, Lamiales, Lamiaceae. The transcript is spliced from 2 exons.